RNAcentral lists this ribosomal RNA (403 nucleotides) under Fusobacteriota bacterium. RNAcentral describes it as "Fusobacteria bacterium partial 16S ribosomal RNA". It matches the Rfam family "Bacterial small subunit ribosomal RNA", at positions 355 to 776 of the family's 1533-position model. The record is from RNAcentral. Lineage: Bacteria; Fusobacteriati; Fusobacteriota.
UGGGGAAUAUUGCACAAUGGAGGGAACUCUGAUGCAGCGACGCCGCGUGAACGAAGAAGGCUUUCGAGUCGUAAAGUUCUUUUAUAUGGGAAGAUAAUGACGGUACCAUAAGAAAAAGCCCCGGCUAACUACGUGCCAGCAGCCGCGGUAAUACGUAGGGGGCUAGCGUUGUCCGGAAUCACUGGGCGUAAAGGGUUCGCAGGCGGAAAUGCAAGUCAGGUGUAAAAGGCAGUAGCUUAACUACUGUAAGCAUUUGAAACUGCAUAUCUUGAGAGGAGUAGAGGUAAGUGGAAUUGUUAGUGUAGCGGAGAAAUGCGUAGAUAUUAAAAAGAAUACCGGUGGCGAAGGCGACUUACUGGGCUCAUUCUGACGCUGAGGAACGAAAGCGUGGGUAGCAAACAGG